GACGAACGCUGGCGGCGUGCCUAACACAUGCAAGUGGAGCGACGAACCGGGCUUCGGCCCGGGGCCAAGCCGCGAACGGGUGAGUAACACGUGGGUAACCUGCCCUGAUGAUUGGGACAACCCGAGGAAACUCGGGCUAAUACCGAAUGUGCCCUCCGACCAUAAGGUCUGCGGGGAAAGGAAGCUUCGGCCUCCGCAUCGGGAUGGGCCCGCGGCGCAUUAGCUUGUUGGUGAGGUAACGGCUCACCAAGGCGACGAUGCGUAGCUGGUCUGAGAGGACGAUCAGCCACACUGGGACUGAGACACGGCCCAGACUCCUACGGGAGGCAGCAGUGGGGAAUCUUGCGCAAUGCGCGAAAGCGUGACGCAGCAACGCCGCGUGGGGGAAGAC
This 391-nucleotide ribosomal RNA is filed under the name uncultured bacterium. RNAcentral's name for it is "bacterial SSU rRNA". It matches the Rfam family "Bacterial small subunit ribosomal RNA", at positions 28 to 412 of the family's 1533-position model. The record is from RNAcentral.